RNAcentral lists this long non-coding RNA (7038 nucleotides) under Physcomitrium patens. RNAcentral's name for it is "long non-coding RNA (PPAT_LNC012177)". Lineage: Eukaryota; Viridiplantae; Streptophyta; Bryopsida; Funariales; Funariaceae. The record is from RNAcentral.
GUGAGCAAAUUGAUGCGGCAUCUUCAGACAUGAUGAUGCUCGAUGAUAACACAUCUCCGUACUGCAUUGGCCUACUCGGUAAUGGAGCAGUUCAUGGUGCGGAUCCUCUCAACUGGGCCAAGACCGCCAAGGCCAUGGAAUGCAGCCACCUCGAAGAAAUCAAGCGGAUGGUCGACACUUACCAAAAUGCCACCCAGGUCAUGAUCGAGGGAGCCACCCUCACUGUACCUCAGGUAGCAGCCAUUGCUCGCAGACCUGACGUGCAUGUCGUGCUCGAUGCUGCCAAUGCCAAGAGUAGAGUGGACGAGAGCUCCAACUGGGUGCUCGACAGGAUCAUGGGCGGAGGUGACAUCUACGGCGUUACCACCGGGUUCGGAGCGACCUCUCAUCGUCGCACGCAGCAAGGAGUGGAGCUCCAGCGCGAACUCAUCCGCUUCCUGAAUGCGGGAGUCCUCAGCAAGGGUAACUCCCUGCCAUCCGAGACUGCCCGAGCGGCGAUGCUAGUGCGUACCAACACGCUGAUGCAGGGCUAUUCUGGCAUCCGCUGGGAGAUCCUCCAAGCUAUGGAGAAGCUACUCAACGCGCACGUCACCCCCAAGUUGCCCUUGCGGGGUACCAUCACGGCAUCCGGCGACCUCGUCCCCUUGUCGUAUAUCGCCGGCCUGCUUACCGGUCGCCCCAAUUCCAAAGCCGUCACCGAGGACGGACGAGAGGUUUCCGCGCUGGAGGCCUUGCGCAUCGCAGGCGUGGAGAAGCCCUUCGAGCUGGCGCCCAAGGAAGGGCUCGCCCUUGUCAACGGCACCGCAGUCGGUUCCGCCCUCGCUUCCACCGUGUGCUACGAUGCCAACAUCAUGGUGUUGCUCGCCGAGGUUCUGUCCGCGCUCUUUUGCGAGGUAAUGCAGGGCAGCCCGAAUUUGCCGACCCCCUGACUCACAAGCUGAAGCACCACCCCGGACAGAUGGAAGCUGCGGCUGUCAUGGAGUGGGUGCUGGACGGGAGUUCCUUCAUGAAGGCUGCCGCCAAGUUCAAUGAGACCGACCCCCUGCGCAAGCCCAAGCAGGACAGAUACGCGCUGCGAACUUCCCCGCAGUGGCUGGGCCCUCAGGUGGAGGUCAUCCGCAACGCCACCCACGCCAUCGAGCGGGAGAUCAACUCUGUGAACGACAAUCCCAUCAUCGACGCUGCCAGGGGCAUCGCCCUGCACGGCGGCAACUUCCAGGGCACGCCCAUCGGCGUGUCUAUGGACAACACGCGCCUGGCGCUGGCCGCCAUCGCUAAGCUCAUGUUCGCACAAUUCUCCGAACUUGUGAACGACUACUACAACAACGGAUUACCGUCCAAUUUGAGCGGGGGACCCAACCCCAGCCUGGAUUACGGCAUGAAAGGGGCAGAGAUCGCCAUGGCCUCGUACUUAUCUGAGAUUAACUACCUAGCCAACCCGGUCACCACCCAUGUCCAAAGCGCGGAGCAACACAACCAAGAUGUGAACUCACUGGGAUUGGUGUCAGCCCGCAAAACGGAGGAAGCCAUGGAGAUUCUCAAGCUCAUGAGCGCCACCUUCUUGGUAGGCUUGUGCCAGGCUGUCGACCUGCGUCAUGUCGAAGAGACCAUGCAGUCGGCCGUGAAGCAAGUAGUGACACAGGUGGCCAAGAAGACGCUCUUCAUGGGCAGCGACGGAUCACUGCUGCCAUCACGCUUCUGCGAAAAGGAACUACUGAUGGUAGUGGAUCGUCAGCCGGUGUUCAGCUACAUCGACGAUUCCACCAGUGAUUCAUACCCUCUAAUGGAGAAACUGCGAGGGGUGCUGGUGAGCCGUGCCUUGAAGAGUGCCGACAAGGAGACCUCCAACGCAGUGUUUAGGCAGAUUCCAGUGUUCGAGGCAGAGCUGAAGCUGCAGCUGAGCCGUGUGGUGCCCGCGGUGCGAGAAGCAUAUGACACAAAGGGACUAUCCUCGGUUCCCAACAGGAUUCAAGACUGUAGGACGUAUCCAUUAUACAAGCUAGUGCGCGGAGACUUGAAGACGCAGCUCCUGUCCGGGCAGAGGACGGUGUCUCCUGGGCAAGAGAUUGAGAAGGUGUUCAAUGCCAUUUCUGCAGGCCAAUUGGUGGCUCCUUUGUUGGAAUGCGUUCAAGGCUGGACAGGCACACCAGGGCCCUUCCCCGCUCGCGCCUCUUGCUAGUUGACACUGCUUCACCUCCCAAUUUUGUUCCGUUCAUCUUCGUGUGGGUCACAUUGACGUUACAAUUAACUAAUAUUGUACAUUAGUAGGAAGUGCGUCACAUUGACGUUACAAUUAACAUUGUACAUUAGUAGGAGAUUCUUGUGUAAAUGCUUGGAGUUGAGGUUGUGUGGUGCCUUCACCCUUGACCACCUCUGUUAACUCACACAGCUUUUAAAUUGCAAUUGCAAUGCGUAGUAGUUGUGUAUAUAUUUCCUAACUUUAGAAGUAGAAGAGGAAGAAAGGUUCCAUUGUUUGCAAGCAAAAAUGAAAAAUGAAUAAGAGUUCACUUCAGCAACAACCAAGACAUUUACUUGAGUGGUCAUGGAUUGUUCUAAUUUGUUUAGAUGUCUUUGAAUGUUUAGUGGAGUUUCAAGAGGAUGGAUGUUUAGCGAUUGAUGUGAUGAUCUUCCCUUUAUUUUGUGACUUUGCUUUUGUUCUGUCCAAGCUUCCCUAUUGGUGCGCCAAAUGAUCAUGAAUUUGUUCAGGUAUUGGUUAAUUUGAAUGUUAUCAUUAGCACAAGAUAUAGUUGUUUUCAAAACUUUAAGAUUAGACAAGAUCAUGAAUUUGCUAGAAGAUGAUUUUAACCAUAUAUAUUAUUAACCCAAUGUGCUUUACACCAUGCCCAAAAUUUGGAUAUUAUAUUAUUCCAUGCCCAAGACUUGGAUAUUAUAUUGCACCAUGUCCAAAAUUUGGAUAUUCCAUCACACCAUGCCUAAUAUUUGAAUUUUAUGUUACACCAAGCCCAAAAUGUCUUGAAUACCACACCAUUUAACAUAUUCCAACUACAUUUGAAUUUUGAGAAUUUGGUCAAACCGGUGGAGGAUUAACUUUCUCAAUGACCGACAGACAACAAAUCACAGUUUUCAUGAAUUGUUGGCUGGGGCAUGCUACCAUGAUACCAUGAGUUCAAUGCAACCAACCAAAUAAGAGCCAAUUCCUUGCAGACUCUUCUCAGUUUCCAAUGCUACAGCAAGAGAUUCAAAAGUGACGAGAAACAGCUCAAAGAAACAGUGGGUAGUGUCGAACAAUCGCAGCUGAAUUAGAGGCUGCAAAUAUAAAAGCUCAAACGAACACAUGGUCCGGAGAUUCACCGAUGAAUUACAUUCCUGAAUUUCAGAUCCAUCGGCACAAUGCGCACUAGACACUCCCACUUCAUCUUCUUCCAACCUAAAUUUUCUAAAUAAGACUGUACUUCGCACCUCUGAUUGCAUUGUGACCAUACAUUGCCAAACUCCUGUCUUCCAGAAAUAAAUUGAGUGAACAAUAAGAACGCUAGAGUAGAUGCACUGCCAAUUUAGCACAGCGAGAGAAAUAUACCCACAGGCGCCAGCUCGUUCAGGUUCUGGAUACGAAACAGUGGAACCCUAGAUUUUAGCGUGUGUAAAGAGCUCGCUGAAGCAAGAACGUUAGGUUGAUUCGAUAACCUGAUUUCGCUUUUAAAAUUAAGCGCGAACUCUAGCUCAGGAAGGAAUACUAUUGAAAUUGAAUUGCACACUUCUAUGCUACGCUAUGCAAUGCAAUAAUAUGAUAUGAUACAAAUUGGUGAGGAUGGGGAGUAAAAAGGAGAGGUGGGGUGGAAUCUAAGCGGAGUUGGGAGCGGCGCGGAGCACAAGCACUUCCAGUGUCAGUCCUGGUCCGAAGCCAAUGAAGAAUCCGAACUCGCUGCCCUCGCCCAAAGUGGACGCACCCACCUUCACAGACCUGUGCCGAAUCUGAUCCAACACAAACAGCACAGAGGCGCUAGACAUGUUGCCAAAGUCAAAGUUUUGGAAAUCUCUUUUUGAGAUAUUGAAGGUGGAUAUCAAGCUUUCUUCGGCAUUUCAUCCUCAAACGGACGGCCAAACAGAACGGGUGAAUCAAGUUUUAGAGCAAUAUUUACGUUGCACCAUCAACUAUCAACAAGAUGAUUGGGCCGCAUAUCUACCGCUAGCCGAGUUCGCAUAUAACAACACCCUUCAUGCGUCAACUCAACAAACGCCAUUCUUUUCCAAUUAUGGAUACCAUCCAAAGCUUGACUUAUGGAGUUCGUCAACGAUUAACAAUCCGGCAGCUGAAGGAUUGGUGAAGGAGCUUUCGCAACUUCAAACUACAUUGAAGCUUCAAUUGUAAACUGCCCAAGAAUCUUACAAGGCGUCCGUGGACAAAUUUCAGAAUCAGGCACCUAAAUUCACGAUUGGAGACAAAGUUUGGCUGCUUCGACGAAAUAUUAAGACCAAGCGGCCAUGUGAGAAAUUGGACUAUCGGAGAUUGGGACCAUUUGUUAUCCAGAAGCAGAUCAAUCCUGUAGCGUAUCGUCUGGAGUUACCAGCUACUAUGAAGGUACAUCCUGUCUUUCAUGUUUCUUUGUUGGAGCCUUAUCGAAAAUCGUCUUUUCCUGGAAGAGUAUAAUGUCCACCACCUAGCAUAGAAAUAGAGAACCACAAAGAAUACGAGGUGGAAAAGGUCCUGGAUUCACGACAAAGACGGGGUAAAUUAGAAUACUUUGUGCAUUGGAGCGGUUACGAUAUUAAUGAACGAAUAUGGGAGCCGACCAAAAAUCUCGCGAAUGCGCCGCAAAAGGUACAGGAGUUUCAUCGACGAUAUCCUGAGAAACCCAAGCCGGUUCGACGAUAGCUUCUUACUGAAGCUUGCUCAUCCAGAAAACAGAAAAGAAGAGAGAGCACCACCAAAAUCCAUAGUUGAUGUAGUCAUUCUCUCCAAGAUAGCGUAGAACUUUGUUAGUAGCCCAAGUUUGUUCUUAUUGUUUUAGCCUUUGAAUAUGGAUAGCUAAGAUACUACACUUGUCAUGUCAUCUCAAGCAACUAGCUCACGAAGACGACCGCGAGAUGAAGAAUCGCCUGCACCACGACGACGUCGAAGGAUUCUGAGCAACAAAUCGCUGGUGAUUGUAUUUGAGGUCGAGCCUGCCUACAAUGGUCAGCUAGAAGGAGUGUUUGUAGGACAAUUUCACAAUGAAGACACGGAGGUUCAAACUGGGUCAGAAGUUGAAGGCGUGGGCCACUACCGUUGGCUUCAAGGACCAUUGAAUCACUUGCCUCGUGAACAACAAUUGGAGUUCAUAGCAGAGGUUAUGCGACAGAUCUUCAUUUUCUUGCGUUGGUAUUGACUGACGAUAACAUUGCUUCUCGGAGACCUCGAAGCUAAAGGAGGAGGUGAUGUUAGGGACAUAGUCCUUAGACCUUUUUAGAGACAAGUUUCUAGAACCUUCUAGAAAGAAGUCUCUAGAAACUUCCAGAAGAUUCUUUGAAUAUUUUCUUAGAAUAUUCUUUAAAGAUUUCCUAAAGAUUCUAUGAAGAUUCCCUAAAGAUUCCCUUAGAAGGCUCUAGAAGAUUCUUAGAAUAUUCUAGUAGAUUCUAGGAAGUUACUUGAGAAGCUUCAUAGCUCUUGGGUAGUUGCUCGAGAAGCUUCAUAGUUCUUGGGAAGCUUCUUGAUGCGCUUCCUUAGAACCAUAGGCCAGUAGUAUAUAUAGGAGUCGAGGCUGAAGAGUUCUUCAGUCUCGACAACACAUCUCUUGAAGCUCUAGCUCAAUCCUCUUGGCGUUGCUCUUGUACUCAUCUGAUAAUCUAGUUCUUGUCAUUUCUUCUUGAACUUCUUGUUUAGAUUUCUUGUUUGUAUUUUUGGUCCGUGACAUAAAGAACAUUCUACAUCAACAUAUUGAAGAAUCGUUGGCGCAUGUCGGAGGAUGCACAGAUUCAGGGAGGAUAGAUGUCAUGAUAUAACACGAUUAAUAGAUGAAAGAGUGUGGAGAUUAUUAUAAUUUAAGAGAUCUUAGUUCAAAGUAUUAGAACAAAUUAUCUUAGAAAUAUAGUUAAUAGCCAAAGGGAUAGAAAAAUUAAAAGGUAUCAAUGCUGCCUUUUAGAAAGGUGAUUUCUACUUACUUUGUAGUACCAUAAGUAAGGCAAAUCAAAGUAGAUUGAGAAAAUAAAUCAUAUAGGAAUCUUUAGAAGAAAGUUAAGAGUAAAUUCUAGAAAAAAAUUACUUAGAAAAACUAGAUAUUGAUACCCGGAGAGACCCGGUUAUGAACCAGGGUGGAAAUCAGACCUUGAGGCACAAAACCGAGUCUUGACGACGACUCCGGGACUCUUUGGCAGAUCAGAGAGUGGGGUUGGAGAGAAGGUUGGAUAGAAUUUCUAUGGGCGUUGAUUUUGGGUGAUUUGGAGUUGAUAUGAAUUUGUAAGAGCUUUGCAAAGUUGAGUUAUUUUUCGGAUGACUUGGGUUUUAUGAAAUAAAAUGGGGUUUAUGUUUUGAGUGAUUUCGAGAGUUUUGUUGCAGAUCUAUAGGUGAAUUUUUUUGAUGAAUACAUGUUGUGAAUUUGAGCACAUCUCCGUACUGCAUUGGCCUACUCGGUAAUGGAGCAGUUCAUGGUGCGGAUCCUCUCAACUGGGCCAAGACCGCCAAGGCCAUGGAAUGCAGCCACCUCGAAGAAAUCAAGCGGAUGGUCGACACUUACCAAAAUGCCACCCAGGUCAUGAUCGAGGGAGCCACCCUCACUGUACCUCAGGUAGCAGCCAUUGCUCGCAGACCUGACGUGCAUGUCGUGCUCGAUGCUGCCAAUGCCAAGAGUAGAGUGGACGAGAGCUCCAACUGGGUGCUCGACAGGAUCAUGGGCGGAGGUGACAUCUACGGCGUUACCACCGGGUUCGGAGCGACCUCUCAUCGUCGCACGCAGCAAGGAGUGGAGCUCCAGCGCGAACUCAUCCGCUUCCUGAAUGCGGGAGUCCUCAGCAAGGGUAACUCCCUGCCAUCCGAGACUGCCCGAGCGGCGAUGCUAGUGCGUACCAACACGCUGAUGCAGGGCUAUUCUGGCAUCCGCUGGG